This is a non-coding RNA of Paramisgurnus dabryanus, 460 nucleotides long. The record is from RefSeq and is a predicted model, not a curated record. Lineage: Eukaryota; Metazoa; Chordata; Actinopteri; Cypriniformes; Cobitidae.
CAAAGCAAUGGCGGAAGAGCGCUAGCUUUGUACAAGUGUCUCGCUGUGUGAGGCAUGAAUCAUGUUGUUGUGGAGACAAUAGCACCGGAUUGUUACGCGGUGUGUUCAUGUGCGUCAUUAAAGGAAACCACAUCUACACCUGCCUAUGAUCUGGCUAAGCUCUCAAAUAUAGCCAGGCACUCAUGCAUCUCCAUUCACAUGCCAUGCAACCAAGCUCAUAAAUACAGCUCUGGCCUAUCUCUCUUAAAGGAGCAUACCCUCAUCCUGUGCACAGCUUCAUUAAAGGACUACUAGCAAUAUUCACCAUUACCUUCAUCAACGACUGCUCUGCUAUCCAAGUUGUGCCUCUCAUUCAGAGUUCUGUGCUGUGUGUGCUACCCUUAUAAAUACUGAAUGCUGGCUCUCUCCUAUCUAAUGUAUGUUCUCUUGUGUGCCUAAUAAACAGCUCAAGUUGGUUCAA